UACGCUUCAUAUUUGUCUAUGAAGGAAAGGGGGCCUCUGCAUAUGCUUCCGCUUUUCGAUGAGUCCGCGUCCCAUUAGCUAGUUGGUGAGGUAACGGCCCACCAAGGCGACGAUGGGUAGCUGGUCUAAGAGGAUGAUCAGCCACAUUGGAACUGGAACACGGUCCAAACUCCUACGGGAGGCAGCAGUGGGGAAUAUUGCGCAAUGGGCGAAAGCCUGACGCAGCGACGCCGCGUGAGGGAUGAAGGUCUUCGGAUCGUAAACCUCUGUCAGAAGGGAAGAAUAAGCAUUGUGCUAAUCAGCAAUGCCCUGACGGUACCUUCAAAGGAAGCACCGGCUAACUCCGUGCCAGCAGCCGCGGUAAUACGGAGGGUGCAAGCGUUAAUCGGAAUUACUGGGCGUAAAGCGCGUGUAGGCUGUAUGGCAAGUUGGAGGUGAAAUCCCACGGCUCAACCGUGGAACUGCCUUCAAAACUACCAAACUGGAGUGCGAGAGAGGAUAGCGGAAUUCCAGGUGUAGGAGUGAAAUCCGUAGAUAUCUGGAAGAACAUCAGUGGCGAAGGCGGCUAUCUGGCUCGUAACUGACGCUGAGAUGCGAAAGCGUGGGUAGCAAACAGGAUUAGAUACCCUGGUAGUCCACGCUGUAAACGAUGGAUACUAGUUGUCGGGUUGUAUGACUCGGUGACGCAGCUAACGCAAUAAGUAUCCCGCCUGGGGAGUACGGUCGCAAGGCUGAAACUCAAAGAAAUUGACGGGGGCCCGCACAAGCGGUGGAGUAUGUGGUUUA
Molecule: ribosomal RNA, 786 nt
Filed under: human gut metagenome
Description: bacterial SSU rRNA
Rfam family: Bacterial small subunit ribosomal RNA
Source: RNAcentral